Molecule: ribosomal RNA, 803 nt
Filed under: uncultured Polaribacter sp.
Lineage: Bacteria; Pseudomonadati; Bacteroidota; Flavobacteriia; Flavobacteriales; Flavobacteriaceae
Description: bacterial SSU rRNA
Rfam family: Bacterial small subunit ribosomal RNA
Source: RNAcentral
GUAACAUUGUGCUUGCACAGAUGACGACCGGCGCACGGGUGCGUAACGCGUAUAGAACCUACCUUUUACAGAGGAAUAGCCUUUAGAAAUGAAGAUUAAUGCCUCAUAGUAUUGUAGACUGGCAUCAGUUUAUAAUUAAAGAUUUAUCGGUAAAAGAUGGCUAUGCGUCCUAUUAGUUAGUUGGUAAGGUAACGGCUUACCAAGACAGCGAUAGGUAGGGGUCCUGAGAGGGAGAUCCCCCACACUGGUACUGAGACACGGACCAGACUCCUACGGGAGGCAGCAGUGAGGAAUAUUGGACAAUGGAGGAGACUCUGAUCCAGCGAUGCCGCGUGUAGGAAGAAUGCCCUAUGGGUUGUAAACUACUUUUAUACAGGAAGAAACACUGGUAUGUAUACCAGCUUGACGGUACUGUAAGAAUAAGGACCGGCUAACUCCGUGCCAGCAGCCGCGGUAAUACGGAGGGUCCGAGCGUUAUCCGGAAUCAUUGGGUUUAAAGGGUCCGCAGGCGGUCGAUUAAGUCAGAGGUGAAAUCCCAUAGCUCAACUAUGGAACUGCCUUUGAUACUGGUUGACUUGAGUCAUAUGGAAGUAGAUAGAAUGUGUAGUGUAGCGGUGAAAUGCAUAGAUAUUACACAGAAUACCGAUUGCGAAGGCAGUCUACUACGUAUGUACUGACGCUGAGGGACGAAAGCGUGGGGAGCGAACAGGAUUAGAUACCCUGGUAGUCCACGCCGUAAACGAUGGAUACUAGUUGUUGGGAUUUAUCUCAGUGACUAAGCGAAAGUGAUAAGUUCCCACUGG